CAAUUUCAGCACCUCCACAAAAAGAGGUGAAUAUUGCACCUGGCAAGUUGUUUUUCUCAAGAACUUCAGCCACUAGCUUUGUCACGGCAAUGGUGACUAGUGGAGUUGUUGGAGCACCCUUCCUAUAAUGUAGGUUAUGGUAAGUAGUCAUUUUCUAGCAUAAAACAUGUAAUUCAAGGAAACAAGAGUCUUCCUUCUUAUAGAAAAGGAUAAAGAGAACAAAAUAAGUAUUCUCUAUUUUACCCAUUAGCAAUGGGUAACUAAAAUUGUUUUGUUAGAAAAGGGAAAAAAAAAAAAAAUUAGUUGGAUGACUAAGUAUCCAUUUGGAACAAAAAAUAGUCGUAACUUCUAUAUAGAAUAUAAGAACUCUUAGAGAUUUA
This 380-nucleotide long non-coding RNA is filed under the name Vitis vinifera (wine grape). RNAcentral describes it as "long non-coding RNA (VVIN_LNC003364)". The record is from RNAcentral. Lineage: Eukaryota; Viridiplantae; Streptophyta; Magnoliopsida; Vitales; Vitaceae.